UUAAGAUUUGUCUUCUUGCUGAUUUCACUUCUUGCUGACUUAAAGAAACUAUUACCUCAAUCCAGUUUUAAAUAAAGGUCAGAUUAGAAAAGCAUAAACUCAUUUAAAUGUUAUUUUACUUCCCCCAUUAUUCCCAACUUUGUAGUGUAUUUAGGUUACAAAAAAUUUACAAAGGCUUCCUUGGAUCUUUACCUACUUAGGUGUCCCCUCAGCUCUCAGCACUAUCUAAAUAAAAUAGUUCACUUCUCUGACAGUGUCAAAUCUUGGUUCUCCUCCUCUGUGUACAUCAUUGCUUGGAAAUUUUUACAUGCUUUUCCUACUUGUCCCAGAGUUUCUUUCUCUCCACCAGCCCUAUACUUCUGUCCAAAGUGUACAAUACUAUUCAAGUAUUUACCUGGAUAUUUAGGAAAAAUAAAACCAUCUCUUUAGGUUUGUUUUUUUUCCUCCAAAAUUCAAAGAUAUCACUUCAGGUCCACUCUUUGCUUUGCUGUUCCUGUUAAAAAUGGAAACUUAUAGGGAGAAAUUAUAUGAAGAAAAACAUAGUGGAAAUUGGAAAGAAUGAAAAUAUAGAUUGGAAAAUUCUUCUUUUAUUCUUUUAUUUUCUAAAAGCAUAGACUUUUGCAGCUCAAAAUUCUAUAUCAUUAUACAUUCUCAACAGUUUUUUAACAAAUGUUAUAGAUUAAAAAUAUUUCAGAUGAUAGUUAUAAUAGCUUCCAGUUCUUUUUCUUUGUCAUCUGUAUGAUUAAGCAUAACAACUCACUCUUAAACAUGGGCAAGGACUUUCUACGCAUAAAAGCAAAGAGAGUGCAAAUAUAAUAAACAUGUCUACAUAAUAUGUAUGCAUGUCUGAUCCUCCAAAUCUGUGUGUGUAGAUAGUGAAAGACUAUUCACUGAGAAACGUGAUUGGAUAUUGCUUGAAUGUUUUCUGAAAAAUUCUUUUUCUCCCUAUUCCAGGAGUCUAUGAACUGGCCACUUUUCAGAUGAAACCUGGUGGGCCAGCUCUGUGGGGUGAUGCAUUUAAAAGGGCAGUUCAUGCUCAUGUCAAUCUAGGCUACACAAAACUAGUUGGAGUGUUCCACACAGAGUACGGAGCACUCAACAGAGUUCAUGUUCUUUGGUGGAAUGAGAGUGCAGAUAGUCGUGCAGCUGG
RNAcentral lists this small RNA (1150 nucleotides) under Pan troglodytes (chimpanzee). RNAcentral describes it as "processed transcript". Lineage: Eukaryota; Metazoa; Chordata; Mammalia; Primates; Hominidae. The record is from RNAcentral.